Molecule: ribosomal RNA, 460 nt
Filed under: uncultured bacterium
Lineage: Bacteria
Description: partial 16S ribosomal RNA
Rfam family: Bacterial small subunit ribosomal RNA
Source: RNAcentral
CCUACGGGAGGCAGCAGUGAGGAAUAUUGGUCAAUGGACGAGAGUCUGAACCAGCCAAGUAGCGUGAAGGAUGACUGCCCUAUGGGUUGUAAACUUCUUUUAUAUGGGAAUAAAAUGUUCCACGUGUGGGAUUUUGUAUGUACCAUACGAAUAAGGAUCGGCUAACUCCGUGCCAGCCGCCGCGGUAAUACGGAGGAUCCGAGCGUUAUCCGGAUUUAUUGGGUUUAAAGGGAGCGUAGGUGGAUUGUUAAGUCAGUUGUGAAAGUUUGCGGCUCAACCGUAAAAUUGCAGUUGAUACUGGCAGUCUUGAGUACAAUAGAGGUUGGCGGAAUUCGUUGUGUAGCGGUGAAAUGCUUAGAUAUCACGAAGAACUCCGAUUGCGAAGGCAGCUCACUGGACUGCAACUGACACUGAGGCUCGAAAGUGUGGGUAUCAAACAGGAUUAGAUACCCGGGUAGUC